AGCUUUCCGCAGUGGCAGUAUCGUAGCCAAUGAGGUUUAUCUGAGGCGUGAUUAUUGCUAAUUGAAAAAAUAGACCAUUUUU
This 82-nucleotide small nuclear RNA is filed under the name Neogale vison (American mink). Its description in RNAcentral is "Neovison vison (American mink) U4 spliceosomal RNA (ENSNVIG00000008377.1)". It matches the Rfam family "U4 spliceosomal RNA", at positions 1 to 82 of the family's 138-position model. From Rfam's summary of the family: U4 small nuclear RNA (U4 snRNA) is a component of the major U2-dependent spliceosome. The structure of U4 snRNA from yeast and human has been reported. U4 snRNA presents a k-turn RNA motif in the 5p-SL related to recognition of Snu13 protein. The record is from RNAcentral. Lineage: Eukaryota; Metazoa; Chordata; Mammalia; Carnivora; Mustelidae.